RNAcentral lists this ribosomal RNA (465 nucleotides) under uncultured Klebsiella sp. Its description in RNAcentral is "bacterial SSU rRNA". It matches the Rfam family "Bacterial small subunit ribosomal RNA", at positions 338 to 795 of the family's 1533-position model. Lineage: Bacteria; Pseudomonadati; Pseudomonadota; Gammaproteobacteria; Enterobacterales; Enterobacteriaceae. The record is from RNAcentral.
CCUACGGGGGGCAGCAGUGGGGAAUAUUGCACAAUGGGCGCAAGCCUGAUGCAGCCAUGCCGCGUGUGUGAAGAAGGCCUUCGGGUUGUAAAGCACUUUCAGCGGGGAGGAAGGCGGUGAGGUUAAUAACCUCAUCGAUUGACGUUACCCGCAAAAGAAGCACCGGCUAACUCCGUGCCAGCAGCCGCGGUAAUACGGAGGGUGCAAGCGUUAAUCGGAAUUACUGGGCGUAAAGCGCACGCAGGCGGUCUGUCAAGUCGGAUGUGAAAUCCCCGGGCUCAACCUGGGAACUGCAUUCGAAACUGGCAGGCUAGAGUCUUGUAGAGGGGGGUAGAAUUCCAGGUGUAGCGGUGAAAUGCGUAGAGAUCUGGAGGAAUACCGGUGGCGAAGGCGGCCCCCUGGACAAAGACUGACGCUCAGGUGCGAAAGCGUGGGGAGCAAACAGGAUUAGAUACCCGUGUAGUC